RNAcentral lists this ribosomal RNA (497 nucleotides) under uncultured bacterium. RNAcentral's name for it is "partial 16S ribosomal RNA". It matches the Rfam family "Bacterial small subunit ribosomal RNA", at positions 28 to 507 of the family's 1533-position model. The record is from RNAcentral.
GAUGAACGCUGGCGGCGUGCCUAAUACAUGCAAGUCGAGCGAACAGACGAGGAGCUUGCUCCUCUGACGUUAGCGGCGGACGGGUGAGUAACACGUGGAUAACCUACCUAUAAGACUGGGAUAACUUCGGGAAACCGGAGCUAAUACCGGAUAAUAUAUUGAACCGCAUGGUUCAAUAGUGAAAGACGGUUUUGCUGUCACUUAUAGAUGGAUCCGCGCCGCAUUAGCUAGUUGGUAAGGUAACGGCUUACCAAGGCAACGAUGCGUAGCCGACGUGAGAGGGUGAUCGGCCACACUGGAACUGAGACACGGUCCAGACUCCUACGGGAGGCAGCAGUAGGGAAUCUUCCGCAAUGGGCGAAAGCCUGACGGAGCAACGCCGCGUGAGUGAUGAAGGUCUUCGGAUCGUAAAACUCUGUUAUUAGUGAAGAACAAAUGUGUAAGUAACUAUGCACGUCUUGACGGUACCUAAUCAGAAAGCCACGGCUAACUACGUG